UGGGUGGUUGUCUCAGGGUACUAUGUCUCCCUCCACCAAUAAAAGCGGGCCCUCUUGUAUAGGAAAUUCAAGCAGCAACAAACACAUUAUUUUUUAUUUUUUUACCAGUACUAGUAUAUGGAUAUCAAUAAAACUUUCAAAGAAUUUUAGUUCAUUUCAUACAAUGAGGAUGUGUAAAAUGUUGUGACAUUGAGUCUUGUUUGCACUUUGAUUUCUCAACUUUUCCAACUCCAGUAACUUGAUUUCAAUAACUUUGUUGGCACCAUAGUAGCCCUGAACCUUACCAUAUAUAAUGUGGUAUUAAUCACAAUAUAAUUUUCAACAUUAUUCCAAAAAGCAACUAAUCAAAUGAGCAAUAUAGAAAUAAAACGUAAAUAUUUUAUAUUACUUUAUUUUUUAUAGACAUGUAUAGUUCUGAGAACAUAUCCACAACAUUGCACAAAAUAUUCUUAAAUAAAUAAAUUCUACUACAAAAUGAUAAAUCAUUCUCACAUCAUUGGCACACUAUAAACACCAAGAGAAGAUGUACUGUGUUAGUCUGAAAUAUGUAACUAAAAUACUGGAGGUUUUCUGCUAUUUGAUAUUUUACCCCAAAAUUUUGGUUUACAAAAUUCUUUACCAUAUCUAAUAAACCUCAAAUCAUCGGGAGUAGACUUUACUUAUAAUGAUAUGGAAAAUAAAAAUCAUUAUUAUUUUAGCUGUUUAGAUAAACUGGCCUAUAAACUAUUAUCAAUAAACUGGUUUAAAUGCAGAUGGGUAAUGUCUGUUCUCCAAAUCUUAUCUAUGAGAGUCAGUUAAUUGCAUCUAAUAUAGUGUCAACUUCCAGUCCCAGAUGACUAAAUGAGAAAAAGACAACUGUCGCUUACUGAUUUUCAAAUCUCAUAUAUCAAUUUUAAAAGACAAAUCAAUUAAAAAACAAACUGAGAGAAUCCCAUGAACUCCAAUAGCAGCAAUACUGGGUACAUGUACAUCAACAGGGUAUGCAUCUACCGAUUAGCAUGUAUCACCCCCAUGCAAAUCCACAUUUUAUUUAUAUGAAUCAUAAAUCAGACAAACACAGUCCAUGUUUUCUUGGUAAGUAAUCAAACAAAAUGCAAUAAGAAAGCAUGAUUAUGUUCCAGUCUCAUGGUUAAUAUCAAAACUCAUUUGAGCUGGGUUACGUACAAAAGUUUACCAAGCAAGAAAAAUAUUACUUACUGUUUUGACAAAGCACUAGUUAUAUAAUUGUAAACUUGUUUAAGAUGAUCAUUAUUUGACAUCUUUACAGGUGUCUUGCAAACAUUUGUAAUACUGUAAUUCAUGCACUAAAAGUUAUUGUUACUGGAAGUUCUUCAUUUAACUAAACAGGCGUAAAAAAUAUUUUGAUGUAGACAGUAUUUAUUAGGAUGAAAAUUAACGGAUAAAUUCAUUAUUUGAAUGAUCCCAAAUUAAAUAUUGCUUUAUUACUUGAAAUAUGAAAUUUUUUCAAUGCCUAAAUUUCAAAUGCCAAUUAAAAUAGCAUUCAAAUCUCCACUACUUUGAAAAUCCAGUUUUUCCUGGUUUCAUUUUGUUUCCUCAUUCAAACAAUUUCUGUUAUUUACUCAAUUGCAUUUAAAAAUAUUACAAUGUUCUGAUCUACCAAUACUUGUUAACAAAUGAGUACAUUUUUCAUUGUACAUUGUAUUUCUACUUUUCAGUUCUUCGAAACAA
Molecule: long non-coding RNA, 1689 nt
Filed under: Mytilus galloprovincialis (Mediterranean mussel)
Lineage: Eukaryota; Metazoa; Mollusca; Bivalvia; Mytilida; Mytilidae
Source: RNAcentral